UACAGAGGGUGCAAGCGUUGUUCGGAAUUACUGGGCGUAAAGCGCGUGUAGGCGGUCCAGCAAGUCGGAUGUGAAAGCCCUAGGCUUAACCUAGGAACUGCAUUCGAAACUACUGGACUCGAGUAUCGGAGGGGAUGGCGGAAUUCCCGGUGUAGAGGUGAAAUUCGUAGAUAUCUGGAGGAACACCGGUGGCGAAGGCGGCGUUCUGGACUGCUACUGACACUGAGGAACGAAAGCCAGGGGAGCAAACGGG
RNAcentral lists this ribosomal RNA (253 nucleotides) under uncultured bacterium. RNAcentral's name for it is "partial 16S ribosomal RNA". It matches the Rfam family "Bacterial small subunit ribosomal RNA", at positions 524 to 776 of the family's 1533-position model. The record is from RNAcentral.